RNAcentral lists this ribosomal RNA (322 nucleotides) under uncultured bacterium. Its description in RNAcentral is "partial 16S ribosomal RNA". It matches the Rfam family "Bacterial small subunit ribosomal RNA", at positions 83 to 422 of the family's 1533-position model. The record is from RNAcentral.
CAGCAAUGGAGAGUGGGAGACGGGCGAGUAACACGUGGGAACCUUCCCUUUGGUUCGGAAUAGCUCAGGGAAACUUGAGGUAAUACCGGAUAAGCCCUUACGGGGAAAGAUUUAUCGCCGAAGGAUGGGCCCGCGUCGGAUUAGCUAGUUGGUGGGGUAACGGCCUACCAAGGCGACGAUCCGUAGCUGGUCUGAGAGGAUGAUCAGCCACACUGGGACUGAGACACGGCCCAGACUCCUACGGGAGGCAGCAGUGGGGAAUUUUGCGCAAUGGGGGAAACCCUGACGCAGCAACGCCGCGUGGAGGAUGAAGUCCCUUGGG